AUGAUUUGUGGACCGUCGGUCUACCGAGCAAUCUCACCCGCUUAGUGGACGAUCUUCCCUUUGUCGU
This 67-nucleotide microRNA precursor is filed under the name Bombyx mori (domestic silkworm). RNAcentral describes it as "mir-2774 microRNA precursor family". It matches the Rfam family "mir-2774 microRNA precursor family". Lineage: Eukaryota; Metazoa; Arthropoda; Insecta; Lepidoptera; Bombycidae. The record is from Rfam by way of RNAcentral.